CCACUGCGUUGGUGUAGAUGAGAUUGAGCUCGAGCUAGCUCGAAUAAAGGCUCUUUGCUUUUGCAUCGGUGUUGGCUCCUUGGUGGUCUUCUGGGAUUUGCGACUUUGGGCACAACAUUUGGGGGCUCAUCUGGGAUCCCAGAGACCCCCACGACCCCCGACCCAGAGAGCCCUGUGCCGGCUGGUUAAAGAUAUCAGGGGAAGAGCUAACAACCUCAGUGUGGAAGUCCAGAAGGGUCGGUGGCAGACUUUUUGUUCUAGUGAGUAGCCAGUUUUCAAUGUUGGAUGGCUGCCAGAGGGAACCUUAUCUAUGUCUCAGUCUGUAUGUUUGUGUGUCUAAGUAUGUAAAUGAAAAUAUCUUUCAACCUCUGGAUGGUAUUAAUGAAAUUGAUUUAAAGACAAGCGCUUGUGAAAAUUGGGCAUUCUAAAACUUCCAGAAAAUCUGAUAAAAAAUGUUAAGCAUUAAUGCUAAUUUGGGUUUGGCUGAGGCGUGCAUGUCCUUAUAGUUAUCAGCUGCCAAAGUUUACUUAAAGUCAUUUAAGUUGAUGUUACCUGUUCAACAUUUCAAGAAGAUGCUUAAAGAAAAGCUUGACUUUGUCUAAUGUUUAGUAAAAGUUUUCUAAGUAAUCUAGCAUGGUUGCUAAAAAUAAGUAAACAAGUAUAGCAAAUAAACAUCUUAAAAAUAAUACUGUAUUAAUGUAUAACAGUGUAUAUAUAUGCAAACAGCCUGAGAAUUUUUGUGGUAACCAAAAUUUUUAAAGUUUGCUAAGUUAUAUAGACAUAUUUUGUGCCUAAUGAGAAAUUGUGUUGUAAAGCACAUUUCCAAAAAUGAUAAUAUAUGUUCAUAGAUGUAUCAAUCUGAAGAAUGCUAGUGCAACAGUUUACAGUGGCCUUUUUUUCAGUGUUCACUGAAAGUUAAAGUAUCAAAUGAUUUUAAGUUCUAAUGAAAACUACUUAAAUAAGGAAAACAUUUCUCUAUGCUAAAAGAUGUAUGUUUUAAUAAGAGAAAGUAUAAAGAAUGAAAACUCGUCUGCAUGCUAAAGAAUGUGUUUUUUGAUAAAAGAAAUAACUUUGUUCUAAAGUACAGCUAUUUAUUUAAAGGGGGACAGAGACAGAGAGAGAGAGCAGUGUGGUGCAGCAGCGUGGUGCCUUUUGUUGUGGUGGAUCCGCUCAACCUGUUGCUUUGGGGGAGGGUCAGAAUGUUUAGAGAUAAGGUGGGAUAAACCCAGGCAAGCCCAGGCAUAAUUCUCACCAGCUUAUGUGCUUGGGACCAUGGGGCAAAUGAAGAAUAAAUUACUAUAUUCUUACAGAUAUAGUCGUGCUAUGUGAAAUUAAAGCAAGUGAGUCUUGAUAUCAAGUGCACAGCAAAAUUAGAAUUUUGUUUCCAGUUAAAAA
Long non-coding RNA from Manis pentadactyla (Chinese pangolin), 1395 nucleotides. RefSeq lists it as uncharacterized. The record is from RefSeq and is a predicted model, not a curated record. NCBI's taxonomy places the organism in Eukaryota, Metazoa, Chordata, Mammalia, Pholidota, Manidae. The transcript is spliced from 2 exons.